UUUCCGUAGGUGAACCUGCGGAAGGAUCAUUAUUGAAUAAACCUGAUGUGGCUGUUAGCUGGCUUUUCGAAGCAUGUGCUCGUCCGUCAUCUUUAUCUCUCCACCUGUGCACAUUUUGUAGUCUUGGAUAACUCUCGAGGCAACUCGGAUUUUAGAAUCGCCGUGCUGCACAAGUCGGCUUUCCUUUCAUUUCCAAGACUAUGUUUUUAUAUACACCAAAGUAUGUUCAAAGAAUGUCAUCAAUGGGAACUUGUUUCCUAUAAAAUUAUACAACUUUCAGCAACGGAUCUCUUGGCUCUC
Molecule: unclassified non-coding RNA, 300 nt
Filed under: plant metagenome
Description: partial contains small subunit ribosomal RNA, internal transcribed spacer 1, and 5.8S ribosomal RNA
Source: RNAcentral